UAUUAAGAUCGAAGAAUACGAACAUGCAUUCUGUAUAUAAACCUAAAUUCUGCCAAAAACCCACGAGCUCUAUCAGAUCAGAGCCUCCAAUCUACUGCCGCGUCUGAGCCUUAGCUAGAGUAGAGAUGAAGGUUGUCGCUGCAUAUUUGCUCACUGUUUUGGGCGGCAACGCCAGCCUCUUAGCCAAGGACUUGAAGACCAUUCUCGCCUCCGUUGAAUUAACUGAACGAAAAAUUUGAACUGAUUCAAUUGGAAUUGUAACUGCACAGCCAUAUUAGUUAUCAUUGGAUCUGUCACUUGGUGAUGGCUGAUCUCCGGGCACCCCUUUUGGCUUUUUUAACUCUCACUUUGAUCCUCGAUUGAGUUCUGAAAAGCCAAAACCCCUUUAAUUCUAUGGUCUUCUGAGUGAAUGGCUUCAGCUCUUUUUGCAAGGACUCUUUUGGGUCAUCGCCUUUUUCACUCUUCUGCACACUCUCUCUCUCCAAAGCCCCAAAUCCUCACUUCCCUGCUCAAUUGAUCUCACGAGGAAUUUUCUUAGUGGUAAUAUACUGAGUGAAUGGGCUUCUGCAAAGUUGGAAUAUUUGUAAAUUCAGUUCUUAACUCCAUAUUCUUUGUUGUCCAAUAAUGACUUAUAAUGAUUGAACUUUGAGUAAACUGCAGGUCCUUUAAUGUGAACAACUUAACUGGACCAAUCUCUGUCUUCUUGGGAUACAUCAGCAAUCUAAAGUACUUGAACCUUGAGACUAACAUGUUUUCUGGAACUGUUCCUCCUGAGAUUGGGAAGUUGGUUAACUUGUAGAAUCUGAACUGCAUGAGAGAGUAUUAGUAUUGAAGGCUUGAAGGUGCAAUAUUGAAACGUUGCUCAUAUUUGGAUAAGAGAACGUACAGUAUACUAUGACACUAUCUUAAAUGUGGUUGUAAUUGUUUCUUAUAUCAAUGCUGUGAUUUGGUGUUAAAGCAUCUUUCAGUCAUGCAAAAACAUAGGCUGAGGGACUUUUAGUGGAGGUGAUGCUCUAAACCCUGAAAAUAAGGUGUUAAUUGAUCGCUGGAUGUUGGAAAAGAUGAAGGAUGACGAACGCCUCAAUGAGGAAAGAGUACAUUCGGAGAUGGUGAGAACUUUCGAUAUUGAAGCUAUGAGGACAGCCGCUCCACCUGCACUCGUUGUGUUUAAAAGCCUCAAAAGUUUAUCAGAGUGUUGAAGUCCCAGAAUCUGUGAUGAACUUGACUUCGAAAAGGGGUUCUUUAGCCAGAAAGGCAAGAAAGAAUGCAGAAAGCAUUGUAAGAGACCAGGCAGGAAUGGCAAGAGAGCAGUUUCAGAUUGCUGCAAAAGCAGGAUGUGAUCUUGGACAGAAAUGGUUGGAAAGACUUGACGAGGAAGAGAAUCAUCUAUUGACCGAAGAUUAGAAGAUUAGUAGAGUAUUCAUUAAGUUAUUUUUUCUAGUUCAUUUUGUAGUCACUUCAGACUUAUUUUGUAUGUAUAUUAAUGUAUUUUAGUAUGUAAUAUAGUCCUUUUGGUGAUUUUCA
Rosa rugosa (rugosa rose) is the source of this 1524-nucleotide long non-coding RNA. RefSeq lists it as uncharacterized. The record is from RefSeq and is a predicted model, not a curated record. The transcript has 9 exons. NCBI's taxonomy places the organism in Eukaryota, Viridiplantae, Streptophyta, Magnoliopsida, Rosales, Rosaceae.